This 274-nucleotide ribosomal RNA is filed under the name uncultured bacterium. Its description in RNAcentral is "partial 16S ribosomal RNA". It matches the Rfam family "Bacterial small subunit ribosomal RNA", at positions 523 to 796 of the family's 1533-position model. The record is from RNAcentral.
AUACGGAGGGUGCAAGCGUUACUCGGAAUCACUGGGCGUAAAGCGCGCGCAGGCGGGCUGAUAAGUUGGAUGUGAAAGCCUACGGCUCAACCGUAGAACUGCAUCCAAAACUGUCAGUCUAGAGUCUGGGAGGGGAAGAUGGAAUUAGUUGUGUAGGGGUAAAAUCCGUAGAGAUAACUAGGAAUACCAAAAGCGAGGGCGAUCUUCUGGAACAGUACUGACGCUGAGGCGCGAAAGCGUGGGGAGCAAACAGGAUUAGAUACCCUAGUAGUCC